AGAGUUUGAUCAUGGCUCAGAACGAACGCUGGCGGCGUGCCUAACACAUGCAAGUCGAACGAGAAAGGGGCUUCGGCCCUGAGUAAAGUGGCGCACGGGUGAGUAACACGUAGGUAACCUGCCUCUAAGAUUGGGAUAACUCGUCGAAAGAUGGGCUAAUACCAAAUAAGACCACAGUUUUUUCGGAAGCAGAGGUCAAAGGUAGCCUCUAUUUAUAAGCUAUCGCUUAGAGAUGGGCCUGCGCACCAUUAGCUAGUUGGUAGGGUAACGGCCUACCAAGGCAAAGAUGGUUAGCUGGUCUGAGAGGAUGAACGGCCACACUGGAACUGAGACACGGUCCAGACUCCUACGGGAGGCAGCAGUGGGGAAUAUUGCACAAUGGGGGAAACCCUGAUGCAGCAACGCCGCGUGGAGGACGAAGGCCUUCGGGUUGUAAACUCCUGUCUUUUGGGACGAAUAAAUGACGGUACCAAAGGAGGAAGCCACGGCUAACUACGUGCCAGCAGCCGCGGUAAUACGUAGGUGGCAAGCGUUGUCCGGAAUUAUUGGGCGUAAAGGGCGCGUAGGCGGCUUUUUAAGUCAGAUGUGAAAACCCCGAGCUUAACUUGGGAACUGCAUCUGAUACUGGGAGGCUAGAGUGCAGGAGAGGUAAGUGGAAUUCCUAGUGUAGCGGUGAAAUGCGUAGAUAUUAGGAGGAACACCAGUGGCGAAGGCGACUUACUGGACUGUAACUGACGCUGAGGCGCGAAAGCGUGGGGAGCAAACAGGAUUAGAUACCCUGGUAGUCCACGCUGUAAACGAUGGAUACUAGGUGUGGGAGGUAUCGACCCCUUCCGUGCCGCAGUAAACGCAAUAAGUAUCCCGCCUGGGGAGUACGGCCGCAAGGUUGAAACUCAAAUGAAUUGACGG
RNAcentral lists this ribosomal RNA (909 nucleotides) under uncultured bacterium. RNAcentral's name for it is "bacterial SSU rRNA". It matches the Rfam family "Bacterial small subunit ribosomal RNA", at positions 8 to 916 of the family's 1533-position model. The record is from RNAcentral.